Molecule: ribosomal RNA, 468 nt
Filed under: uncultured bacterium
Lineage: Bacteria
Description: partial 16S ribosomal RNA
Rfam family: Bacterial small subunit ribosomal RNA
Source: RNAcentral
GACGAACGCUGGCGGCGUGCUUAACACAUGCAAGUCGAACGGAAAGGCCCUGCUUUUGUGGGGUGCUCGAGUGGCGAACGGGUGAGUAACACGUGAGUAACCUGCCCUUGACUUUGGGAUAACUUCAGGAAACUGGGGCUAAUACCGGAUAGGAGCUCCUGCUGCAUGGUGGGGGUUGGAAAGUUUCGGCGGUUGGGGAUGGACUCGCGGCUUACCAGCUUGUUGGUGGGGUAGUGGCUUACCAAGGCUUUGACGGGUAGCCGGCCUGAGAGGGUGACCGGCCACAUUGGGACUGAGAUACGGCCCAGAAUCCUACGGGAGGCAGCAGUGGGGAAUAUUGCACAAUGGGCGGAAGCCUGAUGCAGAAACGCCGCGUGCGGGAUGACGGCCUUCGGGUUGUAAACCGCUUUCGCCUGUGACGAAGCGUGAGUGACGGUAAUGGGUAAAGAAGCACCGGCUAACUACGUG